Non-coding RNA from Camelina sativa (false flax), 546 nucleotides. Lineage: Eukaryota; Viridiplantae; Streptophyta; Magnoliopsida; Brassicales; Brassicaceae. The record is from RefSeq and is a predicted model, not a curated record.
GGAUCACUCUACAUUUCCUGGCUGCACUCUCUACUGGAUCUGCACAGCUAAUAUACUGCACUGUUACGUCUCUAAGCUCGCCCAGGACCUCAUCUGUAGUAGGGAUUGGAGGAGGGGGUGGUGGUGUGACUUCAGUGGUUGACAUGGUUCUUUCCAAGGGUGGUCGUCGUGUUCUUGAGUUCUCAGACGCCUCAGGUAGAGUUUGAUGGUAUCCUUUCUCUCGGGUUCCUGCUUCCCAUAGCAUGGUCUUUUGAAGAGAAGGAUCGUCUGGAAUAGCUUUCACCCUGUUUCCUGUGACCAUAAUGGUAGUCACUAGGAGAUGUUUGGGAGGAUCUCCUACUUCUCGUCGGGCUGAGUGUUUUUCUGUGGUCAGAGGGGGCAGCACUCGAGAAACCACGAUUCUCAGAUAUGUUCUCCUUUGUAGAGGGAGCACGGAAAUUAUCACUCGGUGUAUAAUAGUUUCUUCGCACUUCAGGAUGCCAGAAAUGUUUAGGGAGACCUUGGAUCUCCACCCAGAAGGGAAUCAUAGAAGGAAAAGUCUCGGAG